This 305-nucleotide ribosomal RNA is filed under the name uncultured bacterium. RNAcentral describes it as "bacterial SSU rRNA". It matches the Rfam family "Bacterial small subunit ribosomal RNA", at positions 333 to 654 of the family's 1533-position model. The record is from RNAcentral.
UGGUUCCUACGGGACGCAGCAGUGGGGGAUAUUGCACAAUGGGGGAAACCCUGAUGCAGCAACGCCGCGUGAAGGAAGACGGUUUUCGGAUUGUAAACUUCUGUUCUUAGUGAAGAAGAAUGACGGUAACUAAGGAGCAAGCCACGGCUAACUACGUGCCAGCAGCCGCGGUAAUACGUAGGUGGCAAGCGUUGUUCGGAAUUACUGGGUGUAAAGGGAGCGCAGGCGGGAAGCCAAGUCAGCUGUGAAAACUACGGGCUUAACUUGUAGACUGCAGUUGAAACUGGUUUUCUUGAGUGAAGUAG